UUCCAUCUGGAAGGAAAUCUGGAGGACAGGUGCUGCAUGGCUGUCGUCAGCUCGUGUCGUGAGAUGUUGGGUUAAGUCCCGCAACGAGCGCAACCCUUGCCUUUAGUUGCCAGCAGUUCGGCUGGGCACUCUAAAGGGACUGCCGGUGUUAAACCGGAGGAAGGUGGGGAUGACGUCAAGUCCUCAUGGCCUUUAUGACCAGGGCUACACACGUACUACAAUGGCCGAUACAAAGGGCAGCGACACUGCGAGGUGAAGCCAAUCCCGUAAAAUCGGUCUCAGUCCGGAUUGGAGUCUGCAACUCGACUCCAUGAAGUUGGAAUCGCUAGUAAUCGCGCAUCAGCCAUGGCGCGGUGAAUACGUUCCCGGGCCUU
This 374-nucleotide ribosomal RNA is filed under the name uncultured Desulfobulbus sp. RNAcentral's name for it is "bacterial SSU rRNA". It matches the Rfam family "Bacterial small subunit ribosomal RNA", at positions 1014 to 1382 of the family's 1533-position model. Lineage: Bacteria; Pseudomonadati; Thermodesulfobacteriota; Desulfobulbia; Desulfobulbales; Desulfobulbaceae. The record is from RNAcentral.